UCCUACGGGAGGCAGCAGUAGGGAAUCUUGCGCAAUGGGCGAAAGCCUGACGCAGCAAUGCCGCGUGCGGGACGAAGGCCCUAGGGUCGUAAACCGCUUUCAGUAGGGACGAAAAUGACGGUACCUGCAGAAGAAGCUCCGGCCAACUACGUGCCAGCAGCCGCGGUGAUACGUAGGGAGCAAGCGUUGUCCGGAAUUACUGGGCGUAAAGGGCUCGUAGGUGGUUGAGUAAGUCAGAUGUGAAAUCUCAGGGCCCAACCCUGAGCCUGCAUUUGAUACUGCUCUGACUAGAGUCCGGUAGGGGAGUGCGGAACUCCUGGUGUAGCGGUGAAAUGCGCAGAUAUCAGGAAGAACACCGACAGCGAAGGCAGCACUCUGGGCCGGUACUGACACUGAGGAGCGAAAGCAUGGGUAGCAAACAGGAUUAGAUACCCUGGUAGUCCAUGCCGUAAACGUUGGGCACUAGGUGUGGGGAGAACUUCCGCGCCGUAGCUAACGCAUUAAGUGCCCCGCCUGSGGAGUACGGCCGCAAGGCUAAAACUCAAAGGAAUUGACGG
Molecule: ribosomal RNA, 557 nt
Filed under: Candidatus Neomicrothrix parvicella
Lineage: Bacteria; Bacillati; Actinomycetota; Acidimicrobiia; Acidimicrobiales; Microthrixaceae
Description: bacterial SSU rRNA
Rfam family: Bacterial small subunit ribosomal RNA
Source: RNAcentral